RNAcentral lists this transfer RNA (71 nucleotides) under Bathygadus melanobranchus (Vaillant's grenadier). RNAcentral describes it as "tRNA-Gln". It matches the Rfam family "tRNA". From Rfam's summary of the family: Transfer RNA (tRNA) molecules are approximately 80 nucleotides in length. Lineage: Eukaryota; Metazoa; Chordata; Actinopteri; Gadiformes; Macrouridae. RNAcentral also lists the same sequence under 1 other name. The record is from RNAcentral.
UAAAAAAUAGUAUAAAGGUAGUACUGGAAGUUUUGAGCUUCCAAAUGGGGGUUCAACUCCCUCUUUUUUAA